Caenorhabditis elegans is the source of this 21-nucleotide non-coding RNA. The record is from Ensembl. NCBI's taxonomy places the organism in Eukaryota, Metazoa, Nematoda, Chromadorea, Rhabditida, Rhabditidae.
UCCACCUUUGUCCAUGAGUAU